UACGUAGGGACCAAGCGUUGUUCGGAUUUACUGGGCGUAAAGGGCGCGUAGGCGGCUUGACAAGUCACUUGUGAAAUCUCUGGGCUUAACCCAGAGGCUGCUUCCGAAACUGCUGUGCUUGAGUGUGGGAGAGGCGCGUGGAAUUGCAGGUGUAGCGGUGAAAUGCGUAGAUAUCUGCAGGAACACCCGUGGCGAAAGCGGCGCGCUGGACCACUACUGACGCUGAGGAACGAAAGCUAGGGGAGCAAACAGG
Molecule: ribosomal RNA, 253 nt
Filed under: uncultured bacterium
Lineage: Bacteria
Description: partial 16S ribosomal RNA
Rfam family: Bacterial small subunit ribosomal RNA
Source: RNAcentral